Molecule: long non-coding RNA, 423 nt
Organism: Lytechinus variegatus (green sea urchin)
Lineage: Eukaryota; Metazoa; Echinodermata; Echinoidea; Temnopleuroida; Toxopneustidae
Exons: 2
Source: RefSeq, a predicted model, not a curated record
CCCCCACCCCAAGGAGCCAUGCACUGCCAGAGAUCUUGAGCCAGGUCUUCAGUGGUUAUCCAUUGAUAAUAAGAACAGUGAGGUAUCUUGUUGAUUUCGACGUGACCAUCUUCCUAACGCUUCUUCCAAACAAUGAACUGGAGGCUCUUUCCACGAAUGAAUGUUUAGCUGCUUCAAGUGUGAUUCCAGCUUUUUCAAGAGCUUCUUGUUGUUCUACUUCUACUGCCUUUAUUGUAGUUAACAUGUCCUGUGAAUGUUUUUAGGAGCCCAGUUUUGCUACAAACACAGUAAACCUCAAGUUCACAUAUAGUUAAAAAACGGUCUACUUGUAACAUUAUCUAGGAAAAAGUUCUACAAAUUGGACAUGGUGAAACUUUUCAUUCAUUAUGUUUUCAGUAUUUACUGAGGUACUCACUACAAAAG